Chroicocephalus ridibundus (black-headed gull) is the source of this 538-nucleotide long non-coding RNA. RefSeq lists it as uncharacterized. NCBI's taxonomy places the organism in Eukaryota, Metazoa, Chordata, Aves, Charadriiformes, Laridae. The transcript has 3 exons. The record is from RefSeq and is a predicted model, not a curated record.
UUGUCAUAUCACAGUCAGGUUCUGUACACACAGAGGAGACAGCCCUUACUAUGUUUGUACAAUGAAAAUUAAAACAAAAUGAGUAUAGCAAGGGAACGGUAGAGAAAAGUGUAAAGUAACAGCAGUAGAAUGGUGUGACUGAACCUGAAAUAUGUAGAAUUAGUUAUUUUCAAGGUUUCCAAAUAUAUAGCUGCAGCUCUGGUUGCAUGAAGAGAGGAAACAAAUUAUUUCAGUCUCAAAAUUAACAUUUUAAGUAUGCAUAUUUUUGCUUUUGACAGCAUGCCUUCAAAUACCUGUAAGUUGUCAACUGGUAACUAUUGUUGUCUAACCAUGAUCUUAAGAGACACAUCAAAAGAGAAUUAAGGCUAUGACAGCAGUCAGUGCAAAUCGGAAAAGUUCCAGGUGGGAAGACAAAUCCAAUGCUUCUGUUACUUUACUGUGGAUUCCAGGAGGAGAAAACGUAGACAGCAACCGCUAGAAAAUACUGAAUCUGAGAAUGCCUCCUUUCUGGAUGUACGCGAGGCCUUUAUACUUUGGA